This 189-nucleotide ribosomal RNA is filed under the name uncultured bacterium. RNAcentral describes it as "partial 16S ribosomal RNA". It matches the Rfam family "Bacterial small subunit ribosomal RNA", at positions 118 to 301 of the family's 1533-position model. The record is from RNAcentral.
UGGGUAAUCUACCCUCGGUUUCGGGAUAGCCCGGGGAAACCCGGAUUAAUACCGAAUGGCCUCUCGAGCUCUUGGGCUCGUGAGAAAAGGUAGCUUUGGCCUCUGACCGAGGAUGAGCCCGCGGCCGAUUAGCUAGUUGGUGGGGUAAUGGCCCACCAGGGCGACGAUCGGUAGCUGGUCUGAGAGGAC